RNAcentral lists this non-coding RNA (168 nucleotides) under Afipia sp. RNAcentral's name for it is "FMN sequence". It matches the Rfam family "FMN riboswitch aptamer (RFN element)". From Rfam's summary of the family: The RFN element is a highly conserved domain that is found frequently in the 5'-untranslated regions of prokaryotic mRNAs that encode for flavin mononucleotide (FMN) biosynthesis and transport proteins. The record is from RNAcentral. RNAcentral also lists the same sequence under 1 other name. Lineage: Bacteria; Pseudomonadati; Pseudomonadota; Alphaproteobacteria; Hyphomicrobiales; Nitrobacteraceae.
CGAUGUUCUCAGGGCGGGGUGAAAAUCCCCACCGGCGGUAAGGGUGACGUAGCCCAAGCCCGCGAGCGCCUUCUUCUCGUCCAGACUUUCUUGGGGCGCGAAGGAGGGUCAGCAGAUUCGGUGUGACUCCGAAGCCGACGGUUAUAGUCCGGAUGAAAGAGAACGGUU